UAGCUAGUUGGUGGGGUAAAGGCUCACCAAGGCGACGAUCUGUAACGGGUCUGAGAGGAUGAUCCGCCACACUGGGACUGAGACACGGCCCAGACUCCUACGGGAGGCAGCAGUGGGGAAUAUUGGACAAUGGGGGAAAGCCUGAUCCAGCCAUGCCGCGUGUGUGAAGAAGGCCUUUUGGUUGUAAAGCACUUUAAGCUAGGAGGAGGGUCCCUUAGUUAAUACCUUAAGUGAGUGGACGUUACUCGCAGAAUAAGCACCGGCUAACUUUGUGCCAGCAGCCGCGGUAAUACAGAGGGUGCGAGCGUUAAUCGGAUUUACUGGGCGUAAAGCGUGCGUAGGUGGUUUGUUAAGUCGGAUGUGAAAUCCCCGAGCUUAACUUGGGAAUUGCAUUCGAUACUGGAGAGCUAGAGUAUGGGAGAGGAUGGUAGAAUUUCAGGUGUAGCGGUGAAAUGCGUAGAGAUCUGGAGGAAUACCGAUGGCGAAGGCAGCCAUCUGGCCUAAUACUGACACUGAGGUGCGAAAGCAUGGGGAGCAAACAGGAUUAGAUACCCUGGUAGUCCAUGCCGUAAACGAUGUCUACUAGCCGUUGGGGCCUUUGAGGUUUUAGUGGCGCAGCUAACGCGAUAAGUAGACCGCCUGGGGAGUACGGUCGCAAGACUAAAACUCAAAUGAAUUGACGGGGGCCCGCACAAGCGGUGGAGCAUGUGGUUUAAUUCGAUGCAACGCGAAGAACCUUACCUGGCCUUGACAUACUAAGAACUUUCCAGAGAUGGAUUGGUGCCUUCGGGAACUUAGAUACAGGUGCUGCAUGGCUGUCGUCAGCUCGUGUCGUGAGAUGUUGGGUUAAGUCCCGCAACGAGCGCAACCCUUUUCCUUAUUUGCCAGCGGGUCAUGCCGGGAACUUUAAGGAUACUGCCAGUGACAAACUGGAGGAAGGCGGGGACGACGUCAAGUCAUCAUGGCCCUUACGGCCAGGGCUACACACGUGCUACAAUGGUCGGUACAAAGGGUUGCUACCUCGCGAGAGGAUGCUAAUCUCAAAAAGCCGAUCGUAGUCCGGAUCGCAGUCUGCAACUCGACUGC
This 1086-nucleotide ribosomal RNA is filed under the name Acinetobacter schindleri. RNAcentral describes it as "bacterial SSU rRNA". It matches the Rfam family "Bacterial small subunit ribosomal RNA", at positions 242 to 1319 of the family's 1533-position model. The record is from RNAcentral. Lineage: Bacteria; Pseudomonadati; Pseudomonadota; Gammaproteobacteria; Moraxellales; Moraxellaceae.